RNAcentral lists this ribosomal RNA (501 nucleotides) under uncultured bacterium. RNAcentral's name for it is "partial 16S ribosomal RNA". It matches the Rfam family "Bacterial small subunit ribosomal RNA", at positions 30 to 523 of the family's 1533-position model. The record is from RNAcentral.
AUUGAACGCUGGCGGCAGGCUUAACACAUGCAAGUCGAGCGGGGAAGGUUGCUUUGGUAACUGACCUAGCGGCGGACGGGUGAGUAAUGCUUAGGAAUCUGCCUAUUAGUGGGGGACAACAUUCCGAAAGGAAUGCUAAUACCGCAUACGCCCUACGGGGGAAAGCAGGGGAUCUUCGGACCUUGCGCUAAUAGAUGAGCCUAAGUCGGAUUAGCUAGUUGGUGGGGUAAAGGCCUACCAAGGCGACGAUCUGUAGCGGGUCUGAGAGGAUGCUCCGCCACACUGGGACUGAGACACGGCCCAGACUCCUACGGGAGACAGCAGUGGGGAAUAUUGGACAAUGGGCGGAAGCCUGAUCCAGCCAUGCCGCGUGUGUGAAGAAGGCCUUUUGGUUGUAAAGCACUUUAAGCGAGGAGGAGGCUCCUUUAGUUAAUACCUAAAGAGAGUGGACGUUACUCGCAGAAUAAGCACCGGCUAACUCUGUGCCAGCAGCCACCGUAA